UACUACCUUAGAGUCUGGAAUAACCGGCCGAAAGGCUGGCUAAUACUGGAUAGAGCGAAGGGGCCGUAAAGGUCUUUUCGGGAAAGGGAGCUCGCAAGAGCCCUUGCUCUAGGAUGAGCCUGCGUCUGAUUAGUUAGUUGGUGGGGUAAAAGCUUACCAAGACGAUGAUCAGUAGCUGGUCUGAGAGGAUGAUCAGCCACACUGGAACUGAAACACGGUCCAG
Molecule: ribosomal RNA, 223 nt
Filed under: uncultured bacterium
Lineage: Bacteria
Description: partial 16S ribosomal RNA
Rfam family: Bacterial small subunit ribosomal RNA
Source: RNAcentral